CAGCAGCCACGGGAAUACGAAGGGGGCUAGCGUUGUUCGGAAUUACUGGGCGUAAAGCGCACGUAGGCGGAUAUUUAAGUCAGGGGUGAAAUCCCAGAGCUCAACUCUGGAACUGCCUUUGAUACUGGGUAUCUUGAGUAUGGAAGAGGUGAGUGGAAUUCCGAGUGUAGAGGUGAAAUUCGUAGAUAUUCGGAGGAACACCAGUGGCGAAGGCGGCUCACUGGUCCAUUACUGACGCUGAGGUGCGAAAGCGUGGGGAGCAAACAGGAUUAGAUACCCGCGUAGUCCCUGUCUCUUAUAC
Molecule: ribosomal RNA, 301 nt
Filed under: uncultured bacterium
Lineage: Bacteria
Description: partial 16S ribosomal RNA
Rfam family: Bacterial small subunit ribosomal RNA
Source: RNAcentral